ACAAGCGGUGGAGUAUGUGGUUAAUUCGAUGCAACGCGAAGAACCUUACCUGGUCUUGACAUCCCGGAGACCCUUAGGAAACUAGGGGGUGCUUCCAUCUGGAAGAAUCUGGAGACAGGUGCUGCAUGGCUGUCGUCAGCUCGCGUCGUGAGAUGCUGGGUUAAGUCCCGCAACGAGCGCAACCCUUGCCUUUAGUUGCCAGCAGUUCGGCUGGGCACUCUAAAGGGACUGCCGGUGUUAAACCGGAGGAAGGUGGGGAUGACGUCAAGUCCUCAUGGCCUUUAUGACCAGGGCUACACACGUACUACAAUGGCCGAUACAAAGGGCAGCGACACUGCGAGGUGAAGCCAAUCCCGUAAAAUCGGUCUCAGUCCGGAUUGGAGUCUGCAACUCGACCCCAUGAAGUUGGAAUCGCUAGUAAUCGUGGAUCAGCAUGCCACGGUGAAUACGUUCCCGGGCCUU
This 462-nucleotide ribosomal RNA is filed under the name uncultured Desulfobulbus sp. Its description in RNAcentral is "bacterial SSU rRNA". It matches the Rfam family "Bacterial small subunit ribosomal RNA", at positions 925 to 1382 of the family's 1533-position model. Lineage: Bacteria; Pseudomonadati; Thermodesulfobacteriota; Desulfobulbia; Desulfobulbales; Desulfobulbaceae. The record is from RNAcentral.